This is a long non-coding RNA of Gasterosteus aculeatus aculeatus (three-spined stickleback), 397 nucleotides long. Lineage: Eukaryota; Metazoa; Chordata; Actinopteri; Perciformes; Gasterosteidae. The record is from Ensembl.
ACACACACAGGAAGUGUGUUCAGGCAGAAAAGAUACACACAGUGCCCAGCCUCUACUGGCGCCACAGCGGGGUCAUCUGGGGUUCCACGGCAGAAGGGAAUGCGUAGAAACAACAACCCGUACAUGAAAAACCAUGAAUGAACCGCAUACAAAAGCACAAGAUACUGUUAAGCAAAAGAAAAAAGAUCUCAUUUAGACACUUUUGAGAUUCACUGUUGCUCCUGUGCGGCAAAUGACCCGAAUGCACACAAAAGGGGUCCGGCCGGCGUAUCCUCAGAGAGCAUGAGAGCGCCGGUGAUGCAGUGGCGCUGUGUGCUGACAGAGGGGGAACAAAGGUGACGCUUGAUGGAACGAACACUCUUUCCUCAUGACACACAGAUUCCCUCAGCGAGCCGAC